GUCUAAUGGAACUUCCGCCUCUCAACAUUGCAGUGCAUCAUUUUGGAAGUCUUAUAAUAUUAUCAAGAGUCAAUACCUAGCAGACUAUACCUAUAAGCAACAUUGUUAUAUGUAUAAUAUUCACAUACAAACUUGGUGGGCCCAGUGUCAAUUAUUCGUUAUCAUGUACCUAUUACUCAAAGAAAUAUGUCAUCAUAGUAUGUCGUUACUCAAUAGUAAAAAGCCGCCAAUGAGGAUCUGGGCUAAAAUAGGUCAUCAGAACCCCUUGCUUGUUGUAAGAGGCGACUAAAUGGGGCAGUCCUUCGGAUUAGACCGCAGAAACCAAUCAAUCCAUUCUUUAUUCUCCUUACCAAUAGUGCAAAGGGUACAUUUUCUUUGGGAUCUUUCUAUGCCGUACCAUCUGCCAACUUCAAUAGGUAAUCGAUUACUCAGUAUUACAUGUAUGAAAUUUACACAAAGCUAUUCUGUCAGAAGGAUCCAGUAUACAUGUAUCAAGGUAUUUUUCAAAACAAAAAAUUUCUUUUAUCAUACAAUAAAAAAAUCCUUUUGAUGAAUUAAAUACAUUAUUACACCAUUCGAAUCCCACAUAUUACCGAAACCUAAAUUAUUUAGUUUUUUUUUUUUUUGUCUCUCACAUAAAGCAUCCACUUAGAAAAGCAAAUAUCUUGUGUGAAUUUGCAUUUACAAAAUGCAUACAUAAUAUUUGAAAAUUUAUCAUCUCCUGUAAAAGCAACCUUGCACCAAUAAUUGAGCAUCCUCGAUUGUACAUCAACAUAAAGUGGAUACGCUCCCAAUUCACCAUAAAUCAAAUAACUUGGUGUUGAACGUUUUAAAUUCACUGAUAAUUUGCUAAACUUUAAAUGAACCCUUUCUAAACAUUCAUAAUUACCAGUACCCCAAACUCCACACCCAUAAAAUAAAAUCGGCUUUACAAUGCUACAAUAAAGACCGUACCGACAGCUUACCGAUAGUUUAUGUAAUCGCGGGUCUUCCCUUCUGUAAAAUCUCAUAAACACCUAGAUACAAAAAUUCAUCAACUACCUCUACAUCAUGGGAAUCAUAUUUGAAAUUAUAAUUUGGCAGCCUUCCUUUUGAAAAUACAACUACUUUUGUCUUUUCAUCAUUUACCGUUAGUUCCCAUAUGUUACAAUACUCACUAAAAAUAUUUAGAACUGUUUGUAAUCCAUCAUGAGUCUCAGAAAUCAACACUGCAUCAUCCGCGUAUAACAGAAUAAAAGGUUUGAAGUAAAUGCCCAGUGUAUCCCUAACAUUAUUACUUAAGUUUUCUAAACCUGUGACAUUUUUCAUUAGGAAAAAUUCUUCCACAUCAUUCAAAUACAAUGAAAAUAAAAAUGGUGAUAAGUUCUCGCCUUGACGAAUGUCGUUAUUACUCAUAAAGUAAUCUGAAAAUUUAUCAUCAUGGACAAUUCGUGACUUAAUGCCUUGUUUCCAACUAGUCAAUUAACAUCUUGAGUACAAAAAUAUGGUCUAUAGUAGAAUAGCCUUUUCUAAAACCAGAUUGAUUUUCAUAUAUCAAGGUCACCUCACUGGAAUAAUUUGACAACCUAGUGUUUAAUAUAGAAGUAAACAAUUUACCCAGGCAGCUAACAAUAGUAAUAGGCCUGUAGUUUUUUGGAUCUCCUGAAGAUCCUUUAUUCUUAUAAAAUUGGAAUUAUAUUGCCCUUAAGCCAGACAUCAGGUAGAAUACCUGUAUCAAAAACAAUGUUUAAAACACUGGACAUAAUCAUUCACAAGUUUUCUGGCAGAGUGUUUAGUAAAAGGUGUAAUGAUAUAGUACCAAACCUUUUACUAUAUAUUAUUUUUUGUUGUUGUUAGAGCUACGAAUUUAAGGUUGAUCGAUCCUCAUGUGAUGUCAUAGGUUUUUGCAAAAAUCUUGAUAAAUUAAACUUUGCACAUAAUAGAAAUAUAUCUUUCCAAGAAAUUUUAUUCACUGGAUAUAAUAAAAAAUCUGGUAAACUAUUAAUACUGAAAAAGUUUAUAUUUUCCAUAGAUAAUCAAUUAUUUAUGAUUAAAAUAAUUUUGUCAAGGGCAAUAACUCCUAUGCUGGAAUUUCCUCUACUGGAUGUCUAUUAUACAUUGGUUUACCUAAUAUCCACAAUUAAUCUAUACAUAUUUAUGAAUUAUCAGUUUUUUAAAACUGUUGAUAUUUAAAUUGUCAUUUCAACAAGUUUUUAUCUAUUUUUAUUAUUCUGUUUAACGAAAACGUGUGAUUUUCUGAUGUUGAUGUAUACUAUUGUUUUUGUAUGUCUUGACAUCUUUAAAAAGGUGGCAACAUAUACAUUUUCUUUGGUUAUUUAUUAAUUAAAUUAAACUAUAUUGAGUGGAAAUUAAUACAGUUUUUCCACUUUUAACCAUUAAUAUUGAUAAGUCACAUGAGGAUGGAGCUACCUUAAGAUUUUGUAUAAAUGCUAAGCAUUUUAAUUAACAAGUGUAUAAAAUAGCAUUUACAAAGUUAGACAUGGUGCUAUUUGAUAAUUAACAAAUUUUAUACUAGAAAUUAAAACCAAUACUAUCAAUAUUUGCCAGAAUGUUUUCUGUUUGAACUUGAUUCAAGCACUGAUGAGUCACCACUACUUGUAUCAAAUUAUUUGUAAUGAAAUGAAACUCAUUUUGUAUUUCAAUUAUAGGAAAAAGUCUUCGUCAAACAUUUAACAAAUUAUGGCCAUAUAAAAUCAUCAAUUGAUUCUUAGGCACCACCGAAUCCGUCCAAAAUGUACCACAUGGAUGGUUUUUUAAAUUGUUUAUGGUAUUUUAUAUGUAAAUGAGCUAACUAGUAUGUGAUGUUCUAUAUAAACAUGUGCAUAAGGAAGAAAAGGCAACUCCUGCUACAGUAAGAAGGAAAGGCAACUCGUGCUACAGUAAGAAGGAAAGGCAACUCGUGCUACAGUAAGAAGGAAAGUCAAAUAAAAAAAAGUACCAGCUUGCCUCAUCAAAAUUUGAAAUAUGCAGAUGAUUGCACUCUUCUUCUAAAAGAUGAGAUCACUCUUGAACAUUCCUUAAAAGUUAUAGCAAAAUUCAGCAAUGAUUCAACCUACAUGUAUUAUGAAAUAUAGAAUUGCUGAAGAAAUGAAAACUAGUACAAAAUGAUUUUUGUGUCUCUUGCAGGGACAUUGUUAAGCAAGUUUUAAAGUUUGAUAGACUGUAUAUCAUGGAUUUGUAGUAUGUAACAUGUAUGUAUGUUAUGCAUUUUAAAAAUACUUUUUAAAAAUAGCAUAAUAUCCCCAAUUGCCUGUAAUAUAUAUAAUUAUAUAUCAUAUAAACAGUAAACUAAAUUUUUAUAUAGAAGUAUACAAAAAAAAAUUCAGGACAAAAGAUACACAUAUGUUGAAGUUGUGAAAUUGUAAUUUAUACACCUUGGCAGGAUAAAACUUAUAUUGAAUGGUAUUAUAUCUUUUCUUUUUUUCGUCACAGUUUACUGGAAUAAAACCAUUCAGGUGUGUGUGUAUGUUGCGAUAUUACAAAUGUUAUUUAUUUUGUUCUGUGAGACCUCUAAAGAGUAGUAUAUGCAUACUUAAUGCUUCCAUAUUAGUUUCUGAAAAUAUUGAAUUGAUCACCAACAACUAUAUCAAAUAUAAUUGUACUUGUAAUAAUCUUUUUGUAUACAUCUAUUUUGUAAGAAGUUCCCACUACGAGGAGGGACCCUGUCCUCCUGUAGUGCUGUCAUGGGGGUUGUAAUAUGAACCCCUCAUAUGGCAGUUUUUGGUUUCUUUAUGUACAUGUACUGUUUUAAAAAAAAUGUCAAUGAUUUAAACAUAUACAUGUUUAUCUAUUUGAUUUAAAAAAACAGUAUCAUUAUAUAUGUAUUGUGUGGAUUACAAUUUGCAGACCAAAGGACUUAGAUUAAUGAUAAGAUCUGUUUUAAAUGACAUGUAUCAUUUUUGUUUCUUUUACAAAAAAAAAAAAAAAAAUAUAUAUAUAAAUAAAUAAAUUGCUCUUUACACAAAUGAUUUAUUAUCAUUUAGUACAGAAUCCAACCAAAAUGACAGUAAACACAUUGGAACUAAAAUUCCUGGAUCUAAUAGCAUUCAAAAGAACUGAGGAACAUCUCAAUCUAUACAUUUCUAAAUUCUCUGAUUCAGUAGAAAUUCUU
Long non-coding RNA from Ostrea edulis (European flat oyster), 4111 nucleotides. RefSeq lists it as uncharacterized. Lineage: Eukaryota; Metazoa; Mollusca; Bivalvia; Ostreida; Ostreidae. The transcript is spliced from 2 exons. The record is from RefSeq and is a predicted model, not a curated record.